UCGCUUAAAGAGAAUAAUAGUCCAGAUUAAAGAGGUAUGUUUUAAGAUCUCGCUUAAAGAGAAUAAUAGUCCAGAUUAAAGAGGUAUGUUUUAAGAUCUCGCUUAAAGAGAAUAAUAGGCCAGAUUAAAGAGGUAUGUUUUAAGAUCUCGCUUAAAGAGAAUAAUAGGCCAGAUUAAAGAGGUAUGUUUUAAAAUCUCGCUUAAAGAGAAUAAUAGGGCAGAUUAAAGAGGUAUGUAUGUUUUAAAAUCUCGCUUAAAGGUUUCCACAGUUCCAGCCAUUCUGAGGUCCUCUGGCAUGGUAUUCCAAAGGCUCUAACCCUGUAAUGGUCAUCAUAGCUUGACAUUCCCAAGGGAGUCUCUUCAUGCUUCACAACUGUUUCAUUUGUUUAUGCUCCCACAUGGGUCUAUAAACUUUAUUUGUGUAGCACCUUUCAUACAAAACACUACAGCUCAAAGUGCUUAACAGCAAAGAAAUGAUGUGCACAAAGAAAUGGCAUGCACAGUGAUCCGCAUAAAAAUAGACAUCAUAAAAACUAGGAUAGAGUGCAUAAAGUGCUCUUAGACCUAAGGGCAGCUUUUGAUACGAUUGAUCAUGACAUCCUAAUCAAUCGUCUUGAAAAGUUAGUUGGGCUUUCUGACUCUGUUUUAAACUGGUUUCAGAACAUUCAUCAAAGGGAGAAAGUUUUACGUCA
Long non-coding RNA from Clupea harengus (Atlantic herring), 692 nucleotides. The record is from Ensembl. Lineage: Eukaryota; Metazoa; Chordata; Actinopteri; Clupeiformes; Clupeidae.